GUUUGCUGGAACUGGAAGACUUAUGAUUUAUGAUUUAAGAGUGCAUCUACACUGUAAAGCCAAUGCAGUUUGUCACUGUUUUAACUGCAAUGGCUGAAAGCUGUAGAGUCAUGGGAGUUGUAGUUUUACAAUGUCUGUAGUCUUCUCCACCAAAGAGUGCUAGUUCCUCAACAAACUACAAAUCUCAGGAAUUCAUAGCAUCACUGUUGGAAAUGCCAACCUUCUUCAAGCCUUCUCUAGUAAUCUUUAUCUAUGAACCUGUUGCUUAUUGUUUCCUAUAUGCAUGUUCUGGUAUGCAGCUUCCUUUACUCUGUGGUUCCUGAGAAGUUAUAAAAGGGGCUGCAGACCACAUGAUCACUACCAGCAGACUACAGACCACUUCAGACCUCAGAUAGCACACGUGGUUGCUGUUGUGCUGUAAGAGAUGUUCAGGCAGGAUGGCACAGAGAAUUAUCUCAAACAUAUCUGAAACUGGACUGAUAAGUUUUGUACCUGUGUAUGCUGAACACAUGAAGGUUUUUCUCAGACCUUUAGGGCAAGCCUCCUGAGGAGUCACUGGAUCCCUGGCUACAGACCUUCUUCACCCCAAAAGAGGUGGGAAGGGGACCAGAGAGAUGUACCCUGAACCAAUUGUUUUGGGAUAUUUGGAUGACAUAUUUCUCCAGGGUGCCAUGAUAAUGUAAUACACAAGAUAACAAAAUGUUCAAUAAAAAUU
This is a non-coding RNA of Anolis sagrei ordinatus, 715 nucleotides long. Lineage: Eukaryota; Metazoa; Chordata; Lepidosauria; Squamata; Anolidae. The record is from RefSeq and is a predicted model, not a curated record.